Non-coding RNA from Ciona savignyi (Pacific transparent sea squirt), 86 nucleotides. The record is from Rfam. Lineage: Eukaryota; Metazoa; Chordata; Ascidiacea; Phlebobranchia; Cionidae.
GCUUAUCACCAUUCCAUAUUGAAUAUACCCGAUCUCGUCUGAUCUCGGAAGUCAAGCAAUCUCGGGCUUGGUUAGUGUGAUAAACG